Molecule: ribosomal RNA, 253 nt
Filed under: uncultured bacterium
Lineage: Bacteria
Description: partial 16S ribosomal RNA
Rfam family: Bacterial small subunit ribosomal RNA
Source: RNAcentral
UACGUAGGUGACAAGCGUUGUCCGGAUUUACUGGGCGUAAAGAGCGCGCAGGCGGUCGUUCAAGUCGAGUGUGAAAGCCCCCGGCUCAACUGGGGAGGGUCACUCGAUACUGAUCGACUCGAAGGCAGGAGAGGGUAGUGGAAUUCCCGGUGUAGUGGUGAAAUUCGUAGAUAUUCGGAAGAACACCAGUGGCGAAGGCGACUUACUGGACACAUAUUGACGCUGAGGUGCGAAAGCGUGGGGAGCAAACAGG